CUUCCUUGGAUAAGCGUACCAUUUUGUUUACAAUACCUUUAAAAAAGUAAUCGUUCCCCAUACUGGUGACAUUAACUCAAUUUUUCAAUGCUAUUAUAUACUGUAUUGACCUUUCAUUUCCAAAGCCUCAUACCACCAAACAUCACGAGAAUCUCCUUUGCAUUCGACAGGGAAUUGCAAGUCCCGAUCUGGAGUGAAUCUGAGUGAAUCUAGUCUAUGAAAUGAAGUCAUCAGAUCUUCAGCGAGAACUCAAAUGAAAGGGACGGUCAGGGAAAAUACGCACCCUCUCCGAAAGGCUCGAAUUAGCAAGAUACUCGAGUGGCCUGCGCAAGAUGAGCCCGAAAGCAAACAUCGAAUGCUAAGAAAUCCCUUGCCGUUCAUACACAUCUAUAUUUAUGGAAUAUUUCCAACGCGUUAAAUGGUCUUAGAAGGGAAAAGUAUACAUGUGGUGCAUGCAAACUUUCAUGCUUGGUUUUCAACGGCCGCCAUCUUUGCUUCGUCAUUAAACGUAUUUUUGUCAAAUGUAAAUUGUAGAGCUGUUGUUCACUUAGAAACUUUCAGUCUCUCUUGACAACUCCUUAAAUUACAACCUCGAACUUGGAAAAAUAAAUCAUCCAAAUCAAGUUGUAUAAAUGUUAGUAUUUUGAUCGGAAUGAGGAGAGAAAGGUUUCGUUAUCUCUUUCUCUCUCUCCCUUAGUUUCAAUUUUCUACCGAACUCGUUUCGCCACGCUUGAACUGGAAUGAUUUGAACAUGUAUCUCUAACAAAGACUGCUUUCUUUCUUUGUGAUAAUCUGGAGAAAGGGUUCUCCUGCUGUACAAUAUUAUUACAACAUGUGCGAUGCUGGCUUCGAUUGUGUGCAAAAGCAAACAUGGUGAAGGAUGUACUUUUUAUUUGCGAACUUGAAAUCAUAUCAAGGCUGACAAAAUACAACUACACUUUUGAGUCAACUCUUGUCUGAAAAUCUGCCUAGUAAUCCUUUUUAUUCUAAUUUUUAAAUAUUUCUCUCUGGAUAUGACAGAUUUUGAAAGAUAUCCCAGCAUAUUUUAACCCACCAUAUGUAAACCAAAUUCAAAGGGUAUAAGUUUUAAAUAAUUACUUGUACCAUGAAGACAAAUCUUAGAAGCAUAUAACACAAUUUCUCACUCUCUCUCUCUUUUAUGAAGCUUCUUUUAAGGUAUAAUUGAGACUGUUUUGUUUAAGUUAC
Long non-coding RNA from Pocillopora damicornis (cauliflower coral), 1206 nucleotides. NCBI's taxonomy places the organism in Eukaryota, Metazoa, Cnidaria, Anthozoa, Scleractinia, Pocilloporidae. The record is from RefSeq and is a predicted model, not a curated record.